UCCGGCAUCUAAGAAUAGUGGGAAAGGGACCAUAAUUACCUCGAUGGUGGGAUCGGCUCCUAGAAUCCGAUACACCUCCAAAAUCUAGUACUUCAUGCUCUUCUAGAUCUGCAUAAAAAUAAGUAAACUUGUUUAGAGACAGAGAGAGAAGUAGAGAGGCUGAGAGAGAAAGACAAAGGGAGAGUGUGAGAAGAUGGGAUUUAGCCUUAUGCUAAUUAUCCGAGAG
Molecule: long non-coding RNA, 226 nt
Filed under: Elaeis guineensis (African oil palm)
Lineage: Eukaryota; Viridiplantae; Streptophyta; Magnoliopsida; Arecales; Arecaceae
Description: long non-coding RNA (EGUI_LNC036682)
Source: RNAcentral